GACUGAGUAGAGACGUUGUCAUCGUUCAACGUUCGUGAUCGCCACAAGAGGUAACGAUUCUAUCACUGAUCAUGCCCAUUCGUAAGGAUCACUAAAUGGAGAAAUUUUUAAAUUCUGCUGCACCUUGGAUGGCAAUUCUCCUUCAUACAUAACCAACCAUCAUUAUUUUCCAAAACCACUUCCCCGUUGGAAAAUAAGCUCAACAAAACAGUCCACAAGUUAACACUUCCAUUUCGUUUUUAAGUUCCAUCAAUGUAGCUACAUACUCUGACUAAU
This 276-nucleotide long non-coding RNA is filed under the name Lathyrus oleraceus (garden pea). RNAcentral's name for it is "Pisum sativum (pea) long non-coding RNA (PSAT_LNC003588)". The record is from RNAcentral. Lineage: Eukaryota; Viridiplantae; Streptophyta; Magnoliopsida; Fabales; Fabaceae.